GACGAACGCUGGCGGCGUGCUUAACACAUGCAAGUCGAACGGACAGGCCCUGCGUUUGCGUGUUUCACGAUUGGCGAACGGGGGUGUAACACGCGUGUAUCCUGCCCUUGUCUUUGGGAUAACAUUAGGAAACUGGGGCUAUAACCCGAGAGGAUCUCUUGCUGCACGUGGUUGGUAGGAAAGAUUCGGUGGUUGGGGAUGGUUUCGCGGCUUAUCAGCUUGUUUGGCGGGUAGUUGCUUUCCAAGGUUGUGAAGGGUAGGCCGCCUGAGAGGGUGACCGGCCACAUUGGGACUGAGGUACGGCCCAGACUGGUACGGGAGGCAGCAGUGGGAAAUAUUGCGGAAUGGGCGGAAGCCUGAUGCAGCAACGCCGCGUGCGGGAUAACGGCCUUCGGGUGGUAAACCGCUUUCGCAUGUAACGAAGCGUGAGUGACGGUAAUGGGUAAAGAAGCACCGGCUAACUACGUG
This 468-nucleotide ribosomal RNA is filed under the name uncultured bacterium. RNAcentral describes it as "partial 16S ribosomal RNA". It matches the Rfam family "Bacterial small subunit ribosomal RNA", at positions 28 to 507 of the family's 1533-position model. The record is from RNAcentral.